RNAcentral lists this ribosomal RNA (515 nucleotides) under uncultured bacterium. RNAcentral's name for it is "partial 16S ribosomal RNA". It matches the Rfam family "Bacterial small subunit ribosomal RNA", at positions 28 to 523 of the family's 1533-position model. The record is from RNAcentral.
GAUGAGCGCUGGCGGCGUGCCUAAUACAUGCAAGUCGAGCGAAUGGAUUAAGAGCUUGCUCUUAUGAAGUUAGCGGCGGACGGGUGAGUAACACGUGGGUAACCUGCCCAUAAGACUGGGAUAACUCCGGGAAACCGGGGCUAAUACCGGAUAACAUUUUGAACCGCAUGGUUCGAAAUUGAAAGGCGGCUUCGGCUGUCACUUAUGGGUGGACCCGCGUCGCAUUAGCUAGUUGGUGAGGUAACGGCUCACCAAGGCAACGAUGCGUAGCCGACCUGAGAGGGUGAUCGGCCGCACUGGGACUGAGACACGGCCCAGACUCCUACGGGAGGCAGCAGUAGGGAAUCUUCCGCAAUGGACGAAAGUCUGACGGAGCAACGCCGCGUGAGUGAUGAAGGCUUUCGGGUCGUAAAACUCUGUUGUUAGGGAAGAACAAGUGCUAGUUGAAUAAGCUGGCACCUUGACGGUACCUAACCAGAAAGCCACGGCUAACUACGUGCCAGCAGCCGCCGUAA